CCUACGGGGGGCAGCAGUGGGGAAUAUUGCACAAUGGGGGAAACCCUGAUGCAGCGACGCCGCGUGAGUGAAGAAGUAUCUCGGUACGUAAAGCUCUGUCAGCAGGGAAGAAAAUGACGGUACCUGAAGAAGAAGCCCCGGCUAACUACGUGCCAGCAGCCGCGGUAAUACGUAGGGGGCAAGCGUUAUCCGGAUUUACUGGGUGUAAAGGGGGCGCAGACGGCGACGCAAGCCAGGAGUGAAAGCCCGGGGCCCAACCCCGGGACUGCUCUUGGAACUGCGUGGCUGGAGUGCAGGAGGGGCAG
This 305-nucleotide ribosomal RNA is filed under the name uncultured bacterium. Its description in RNAcentral is "bacterial SSU rRNA". It matches the Rfam family "Bacterial small subunit ribosomal RNA", at positions 338 to 660 of the family's 1533-position model. The record is from RNAcentral.